This is a long non-coding RNA of Vespa crabro (European hornet), 272 nucleotides long. RefSeq lists it as uncharacterized. Lineage: Eukaryota; Metazoa; Arthropoda; Insecta; Hymenoptera; Vespidae. The record is from RefSeq and is a predicted model, not a curated record. The transcript has 2 exons.
GAACGAACGGACGUAUACGCGCACCAGCGCGCACUAGCGAGCGCAACACUGCUGACCAGAAGAGAGGAGGACUCCGUAAAAGCAGCAACUUCGUACCCAGACAACACUAAUCACUGCGUGCGGACGUAUGCCGGCCGAUAUAGAUUCACCGAACUGCCCUACGAGCAACGGGAACUAUAUAGCAAGCAGGAAAUGUGAUGACGCAGCUUCAAUAGAGAGCAAAACAGGGAGCAACGGAAACCGUGAAAAAAAAAAAAAAAAAAAAAGAAAAA